UUAAGCAUUUACUGUAUCUGAACCCUGCGGCUGUUCCUGCUUUCAGCCACUUCUGCAUUGAGAAGGGCCGGGGAUGUGGUGGAAGCUAGAUGUCACCAAUUAGUUAAUGUUCCAUAUAAAGAAACUGUCAUGUGACACCAGUACCUCCUAAAAUUGGUCAGUGUGGUAGAUGGUUUAGAGAAAAAAGGAACCUGUUCCACAGGGCUGUGACCAUUCGAGGGAAGCACAUUCAAAGAUGUAGAUCCCCUCAGAGAAGUUUUCCAUUUCCCUGAAGUUAAAGAUCUUCAAAUGACUGCAAAUAACAUGAGGAUAUAUAGAAAAAUGCCCUUCCCCAAUUUCCAAAUCGUGAAAAUUUGGCUCAGCAGGUGUACACUUAAAGCGUUCUGGGAAUAUGAAUCCCUUCUGCACCCUGGAAUCACCAGUCCAGCCAUGCAUGGAGCUGGGGAAAGCAGGCCCUGAAUUGUCUAGAGAGACUUGGUGGAGGAGGCCACGGCCCGCCUUGUCCCUGCCGGGUCCCGGCCAGGAACAACUGGAUGUUGUAAAUGUUUCUCAUCUGGCCUUAAAAUCCAUGAAAGCUGGAAAAUCACAAGGCAUCUGUGCAUAUACUGGUGGAUUUUAAUGAGAGUCCUGUGUUUGGAGCACCAGAAAUAAACCAGCUUCAGAAGCAAAGAUCUGAACGUCUAUGACACUCUUUCGAGCUGACACAGUGAAGAACAUAGAAGGAGAACUCACCCAGUCUGCCAG
RNAcentral lists this long non-coding RNA (744 nucleotides) under Homo sapiens (human). RNAcentral's name for it is "HSALNT0159167". Lineage: Eukaryota; Metazoa; Chordata; Mammalia; Primates; Hominidae. The record is from RNAcentral.